Molecule: long non-coding RNA, 716 nt
Organism: Stegostoma tigrinum
Lineage: Eukaryota; Metazoa; Chordata; Chondrichthyes; Orectolobiformes; Stegostomatidae
Exons: 4
Source: RefSeq, a predicted model, not a curated record
GAGGCAGGGGACAGGGUGGGGCUAGCAUUACACCUGGCUACGCUUAACCCUUCGUCACCUCCGGCCUUCAGACCUCACCCUCCAGAGCUUUCUCCCCUGGGAGAAGCAGUGAGCUUUCCCCUCGGCUGUCCCACGGCAGGGACCUCUGUCUCCCUUCCCCGCCCUCCCCGGGCAGGGGGUGUUAGGAGUCCUGUCCCCCCCCAGCCCAGGGAGUAGGUGUGUGCUUGUUGGGGCUGGGCUGCCCUCUGAUCCCGGGGCGGGGGGAGAGAACAGGAUCGAGGAGUGGCUACAAAAGUGUAGAGGAGACCACAUGGUGAGCAGCGAAUGCAGGAGACUGGAUUCUGGGAAGUUCAAGUGAAGAGUUGCUUCACCUGGAAGCUCAGUCUGUGCUGUCUCUCUCUCUCCUCGGAGACAGAGCUCCCUGUGUAAGGAACUCGCUCCGCAUUGGCAUCUUGGGCCAGUGACUCUCUGGAAUGAACAGUUGAUGUGUAUUGGAAGCAGCAACUUCACUGAAACAGGUGGGAGGUGACGAAAUUCACAAACAGACUCUGAUAGAUGAGCUGAACGGGCCAAAAUGCAGCAGAUGGAGUUCAACGUGGAUUGAUCGAGUCACUGAGCACUCCCUGCACAGUGCGAUCCCAGGAUGAAGGAGCUGUGUCGAGUGUGCGCCUCGGAGCUGAGGGGGACGCGGAGGAGGUGGAUUUUUGGGUCGGGCU